Molecule: ribosomal RNA, 239 nt
Filed under: uncultured bacterium
Lineage: Bacteria
Description: partial 16S ribosomal RNA
Rfam family: Bacterial small subunit ribosomal RNA
Source: RNAcentral
GAAUUCCUACGGGGGGCAGCAGUAGGGAAUCUUCCACAAUGGACGAAAGUCUGAUGGAGCAACGCCGCGUGAGUGAAGAAGGGUUUCGGCUCGUAAAGCUCUGUUGGUAGUGAAGAAAGAUAGAGGUAGUAACUGGCCUUUAUUUGACGGUAAUUACUUAGAAAGUCACGGCUAACUACGUGCCAGCAGCCGCGGUAAUACGGAGGUGGCAAGCGUUGUCCGGAUUUAUUGGGCGUAAA